This 253-nucleotide ribosomal RNA is filed under the name uncultured bacterium. RNAcentral describes it as "partial 16S ribosomal RNA". It matches the Rfam family "Bacterial small subunit ribosomal RNA", at positions 524 to 776 of the family's 1533-position model. The record is from RNAcentral.
UACGUAGGGGCCAAGCGUUGUUCGGAUUUACUGGGCGUAAAGGGCGCGUAGGCGGCAAUUCAAGUCAGCUGUGAAAUCUCCGGGCUUAACUCGGAACGGUCAGCUGAUACUGCUUUGCUAGAGUGCAGAAGGGGCAAUCGGAAUUCUUGGUGUAGCGGUGAAAUGCGUAGAUAUCAAGAGGAACACCUGAGGUGAAGACGGGUUGCUGGGCUGACACUGACGCUGAGGCGCGAAAGCUAGGGUAGCAAACAGG